Molecule: non-coding RNA, 270 nt
Organism: Vicia faba (fava bean)
Lineage: Eukaryota; Viridiplantae; Streptophyta; Magnoliopsida; Fabales; Fabaceae
Source: the annotation of a GenBank genome assembly
AUGGUUGCUGUUGAAUUGUAUCUGCUGACUCAUUCAUUCAUGAAUGAAGCAAUAGAUAUAUAUUUUGCAUUAAUGGAUCCCUCAUGUGCAUGGACUGAAGGGGAGCUCCUUCUUUCUGUUGCCUCCAUUUGUAUGUACGUGUCUCAAUCAACUCUUACAAAAAAAAACUUCAAAUAUCCUUUCUACUUCUUUUGUAAGUAUAUAUAUUUCACAUCAUUGCCCAAGAUUUUGCAUUCAUAUGUAUAUGUUUAUAUGAAUAUUCAAUCUUAA